This 1069-nucleotide ribosomal RNA is filed under the name Metschnikowia reukaufii. RNAcentral's name for it is "partial 26S ribosomal RNA". The stretch from base 228 to 817 matches the Rfam family "Eukaryotic large subunit ribosomal RNA", at positions 24 to 664 of the family's 3401-position model. The record is from RNAcentral. Lineage: Eukaryota; Fungi; Ascomycota; Pichiomycetes; Serinales; Metschnikowiaceae.
AUAAAAAAAAAAUCGUGCUCUGCUGCUUUAAAUAAAUAUCUGCGCGUCCGGAAAAAAAAAGUGACCUCUCUCCCCUUAAAAAAAAUUACCCGCGCGCCCCGGAAAAAAAAGAGGGGCCCGUUUCCCCCCGUAAAAAAUUUCCCCGCCGGUGGAAAAAAAAAUAAGCCGGUGGCAAAAAAAAAAAAAAACGGGUUUGGCUCUCUUGUUAUUGGGGGGGGAAAAUUUUCCCCGCUUUAAAAAGUAAACCGCGCGGGGGGGGAUUUAUAAGCGGAGGAAAAGAAACCAACAGGGAUUGCUUCGGUAAAGGGGAUUGAAGCGGCAAAAGAUCAAAUUUGAAAUCUUUUGGGAAUUGUAUUUUGAAGGUGGGUUUGGUCGGAAAAGUUACUUUAAGUCCAUUGGAAAAUGGCGCCUGGAGGGUGAUAGCCCCGUAAAAAUAUCCCUUUUCCUUUUAUCCUUUCCCUCCAAAGAGUCGAGUUGUUUGGGAAUGCAGCUCUAAGUGGGUGGUAAAUUCCAUCUAAAGUUAAAUAUUGGCGAGAGACCGAUGGCGAACAAGUACAGUGAUGGAAAGAUGAAAAGCACUUUGAAAAGAGAGUGAAAAAGUACGUGAAAUUGUUGAAAGGGAAGGGUUUGCAAGCAGACACAACCUCGGUUGGGCCGGCAUCGGAGUGGGGGGAGACAAAAAAGAAAAGGAGUGUAACUCAUUGAAUAUUAUAACCCUUUUUUUAUAUCUCCCCCCCCUUGCGAGGCCGGGGAUUCUUCCAGGAAGCCGGCCUAAUGGUUGCAAGUUCCCCGUCUUGGAAACCGACCCCCCCCGCGGCGUUUUAUUUUUUUGGGGGGAAAACUUCUUUUCUCUGUUUUAGGGGCCCCCCCUGUUGUUUUUUUAAACGAGGGGGCUUUUUUUCUUUUUUACACAGGCCGGGGGAUUUUUAUGGGGGGAAAAAUGCCCCCCCCCUUAUUAAAGGGCCGCGGGGGUUUUUUUAGGAGGAGCAAUAGGAUUGUUAAAAAGACCGCCGGAAAAAAAAUGGGGAGGAGGAGGCUUUUGUGUUUUUUUUUGCGGGGGUCCGGUGUC